GUAAAUAAAACUACAGAAUUGAAAAUGACUGCGAAAGAAAAAGAGAAGAAACAGAAAAACUGUUGAGAGUAUGAAAUGUAGCCGACACUCUCCAUAAUAUUUAUUGUAGACUAUAGUAAAUAUUAUAGCUAUAGUAUUUAGAGUCUAGUAGAUAAGAAUUGUUUAUCCUCUCCCCUUUUUUUUCUUGUAUAUGAGACAUAACCAGAUCAAUAGAUUUUUAUGUGUGAUGCUCUCUCUCCUUAGAAAUCUUCUUGUGUAUAUGACUUACUACUACUCUUGUUUGUAUGUAUUACUUACUACUACUUUUGUUUGUGUGUAUUACUUACUACUACUCUCAUUUGUGUGUAUUACUUACUACUACUCUUGUGUCUUUCUAAAUAUUCUCAAUACGUUAUCAGCACGACUCUCUUCUACAUACUAUCACAAUUUUUUUUUUGCUCUAGACUUGACUAUUCAAACCUAUUGCUAUUCUUGCUCAGUAUCUACCUCAUGACCUUGCUGCUCUUCUUGCUAGCCCCUCACACAUUAACUACUUGCUUAGAUCACUUGUUUCACUCUCUGCCCUACUUGCUUAGAAUACUUGCUUAGAAUACUUGAUUCAGCCCAGCUCCAUACUAGCUUGCUCCCUACUGCGCCUUAUGCCAAACUGUCACGGACACAAAAUACAGACUUGAAAUCUAACAAGAAGUUCAAGAAGAAGUGACAGAACUAGAUUAAAUAGAUGAGUACAAGAACAACACUAGAAAGGUGAGCUAGAACUCCAAGAGAUGUG
RNAcentral lists this long non-coding RNA (772 nucleotides) under Physcomitrium patens. RNAcentral describes it as "long non-coding RNA (PPAT_LNC011615)". The record is from RNAcentral. Lineage: Eukaryota; Viridiplantae; Streptophyta; Bryopsida; Funariales; Funariaceae.